RNAcentral lists this ribosomal RNA (446 nucleotides) under uncultured bacterium. Its description in RNAcentral is "bacterial SSU rRNA". It matches the Rfam family "Bacterial small subunit ribosomal RNA", at positions 330 to 792 of the family's 1533-position model. The record is from RNAcentral.
UCCAGACUCCUACGGGAGGCAGCAGUGGGGGAUAUUGCACAAUGGGGGGAACCCUGAUGCAGCGACGCCGCGUGGGUGAAGGAGCGUUUCGGCGCGUAAAGCCCUAUCGGCAGGGAAGAAGGAGGACGGUACCUGACUAAGAAGCCCCGGCUAACUAUGUGCCAGCAGCCGCGGUAAUACAUAGGGGGCAAGCGUUAUCCGGAAUUAUUGGGUGUAAAGGGUGCGUAGACGGAGAAACAAGUUGGUUGUGAAAUCCCUCGGCUCAACCGAGGAACUGCAACCAAAACUAUUUCCCUUGAGUGUCGGAGAGGAAAGUGGAAUUCCUAGUGUAGCGGUGAAAUGCGUAGAUAUUAGGAGGAACACCAGUGGCGAAGGCGGCCUGCUGGACUGCAACUGACGUUGAGGCUCGAAGGCGUGGGGAGCAAACAGGAUUAGAUACCCGAGUA